AUAUCAGUCAUGCAUAGCAUAUCAAUAAGCGGAGGAAAAGAAACUAACAAGGAUUCCCCUAGUAACGGCGAGUGAAGCGGGAAGAGCUCAAAUUUGAAAUCUUAAAGGGUUCUCCCUUGACGAAUUGUAGUUUAAAGAAGUGUUUUCUGUUGGAGUUUCGGUAAAAGUUCUUUGGAAUAGGACAUCAUAGAGGGUGAGAAUCCCGUAUUUGACCAUUACUUUCCAAGCUGUGUGAUACACUUUCAAAGAGUCGGAUUGUUUGGGAAUGCAGUCCAAAAUGGGUGGUAAAUUUCAUCUAAAGCUAAAUAUUGGCGAGAGACCGAUAGCGAACAAGUACCGUGAGGGAAAGAUGAAAAGAACUUUGAAAAGAGAGUUAAACAGUACGUGAAAUUGUCAAAAGGGAAGCGUUUGACACCAGUGUUGUUUAGUUGAAAAUCAAUUCAAUAAUUUUUGAUUUUGAGUAGUAUUGACUUCAUCAGCUUGCUGCUUUCUUUUCAGAAAUUAUUGAAUGCACUUUUCAGUUAACAAGUCAACAUCAAUUUCUUUUGUUGUAAAAGGGUAAGAGGAAGGUGGCUUACGCUUCGGCGUAAGUGUUUAUAGCCUUUUACCUCUGCAAUCGGAGAGAUUGAGGACAGCAGCGUAGACUCUUCGGGGUUAGAUACACUUGUGCUAAGCUAUAGCCUUGUAUAGACAACUUGUUGACUAUGCUCAGUCAUGUAGCUUACUCGCUUGUGCUAUUUUACCUACGCUUAGGAUGUUGAUGUGAUACUGCGAGCA
RNAcentral lists this ribosomal RNA (777 nucleotides) under uncultured Neocallimastigales. Its description in RNAcentral is "partial large subunit ribosomal RNA". It matches the Rfam family "Eukaryotic large subunit ribosomal RNA", at positions 22 to 627 of the family's 3401-position model. The record is from RNAcentral. Lineage: Eukaryota; Fungi; Neocallimastigomycota; Neocallimastigomycetes; Neocallimastigales.